AGUGAACGCUGGCGGUAGGCCUAACACAUGCAAGUCGAACGGCAGCACAUUAAUAGCUUGCUCUUACGGGUGGCGAGUGGCGGACGGGUGAGGAAUACCUCGGAAUCUACUUUUUCGUGGGGGAUAACGUAGGGAAACUUACGCUAAUACCGCCUACGACCUACGGGUGAAAGCAGGGGAUCUUCGGACCUUGCGCGAUUGCAUGAGCCGAUGUCGGAUUAGCUAGUUGGCGGGGUAAAGGCCCACCAAGGCGACGAUCCGUAGCUGGGCUGAGAGGAUGAUCAGGCACACUGGAACUGAGACACGGUCCAGACACCUACGGGAGGCAGCAGUGGGGAAUAUUGGAAAAUGGGCGCAAGACUGAUCCAGCCAUACCGCGUGGGUGAAGAAGGCCUUCGGGUUGUAAAGCCCUUUUGUUGGGAAAGAAAAGCAGCAGGUUAAUACCCCGCUGGUCUGACGGUACCCAAAGAAUAAGCACCGGCUAACUUCGUG
RNAcentral lists this ribosomal RNA (492 nucleotides) under uncultured bacterium. RNAcentral's name for it is "partial 16S ribosomal RNA". It matches the Rfam family "Bacterial small subunit ribosomal RNA", at positions 29 to 507 of the family's 1533-position model. The record is from RNAcentral.